GGCGGGCGCUGCGGGCCGGGCCCAGGUAGGCUCCGCGGGCGGCCCUGGCGGGAGCUCGGCCGGGAGGGGACGCCUGCGCACGCCGGGCCCCGCGGCGCCCCGUCGUUCCCCGGCGCUUGCUUUUUAGCGACCCUCCAACGCCUCGACUCUCCGCGAUGCCGCCGAAGCAAAGUAAAAGAAAACGGAAAACGUCUGGUUUCUGGGCGUUCUCUAACAGCCGGACCGCUCACAUUCUGGAAAACCUCUGUCAACACGCUUCCACCUCCGCAAAGGAAGCCCAUUUGGAAGAAAACUCUAACACAAGUAGACUUCACUUCGUUUUAGUUUGGCAUUUUAGAGAGAAUUUCCGAUUUAUUUUUGGUUUUAAGUCUGAUGUGAGGGAAGGAUAAAGAGAGCAUACUCCCACCUCCUCCGACUUCCAGUGUGCGUCUAAGAACAAUUGGAGAGGUAAUAGAACUGUUAAGCAGUCUGGUGAUGGUAUCCAGCGUCAAUCCAGGAAAAUAAGAACACUUACACAGGAUGGGACAGCUAGGAUAGCACACGAAAACGUUUUUGUGGAGGAAAAAGGAUUGGGAAUGUACCUGUUGUUUUCACCCUAAACCAAAAGCUUGUUUAUUGUUACUGAUUAAAAGACUGUUUUGCAAAGAGCCCUAAGUAUUGCACCCAGAAGAUAUAAUUAAAUGUUAAUGAGCACAUCGAGUAAAUAACAAAAGCAAACCUGUCAUCUGUGGAGAACUGAAGACCUUUCAAAUGAAGGGAGAGCAAGAAAAUUAGGGAAAAUAGUAUCCUACAAAAGGUCUCAGGAAAUAAAGUAGAGAUUCUUGCCCUGGGCAGACAGUGAAUAUAAAAAGAGUUCACUGUCUGAGACUCCAAACAAAUAGAUUAUAAAAUAACAAUAGUCAGCAAAUGGGCUCAAGAAAUCUUUUUGGAGGGGUGGACAUGCUGUGAAACCAGAUUGUGGAGAUGUUUGCACAACUGUGUACAUUUACUAAAAAUUAUCGAACUCUGCACUUAUAAUGGGUGAAUUUUAUGGUACAUAAAUUGUAACUCAAUAAAGCUGUUAAAAUUAAGAAAAUAACACUAACAAGAGUCAUGUUCCAGGAAAUUACAUUUUUAUUACAAG
This 1123-nucleotide long non-coding RNA is filed under the name Equus asinus (donkey). RNAcentral describes it as "lncRNA (ENSEASG00005030349.1)". The record is from RNAcentral. Lineage: Eukaryota; Metazoa; Chordata; Mammalia; Perissodactyla; Equidae.